Molecule: ribosomal RNA, 823 nt
Filed under: uncultured beta proteobacterium
Lineage: Bacteria; Pseudomonadati; Pseudomonadota; Betaproteobacteria
Description: bacterial SSU rRNA
Rfam family: Bacterial small subunit ribosomal RNA
Source: RNAcentral
ACGGCAGCGUAGGUGCUUGCACCUGAUGGCGAGUGGCGAACGGGUGAGUAAUGCAUCGGAACGUGCCCAGUCGUGGGGGAUAACGCAGCGAAAGCUGUGCUAAUACCGCAUACGAUCUAUGGAUGAAAGCGGGGGACCUUCGGGCCUCGCGCGAUUGGAGCGGCCGAUGUUAGAUUAGGUAGUUGGUGAGGUAAAGGCUCACCAAGCCUACGAUCUAUAGCUGGUCUGAGAGGACGACCAGCCACACUGGAACUGAGACACGGUCCAGACUCCUACGGGAGGCAGCAGUGGGGAAUUUUGGACAAUGGGCGAAAGCCUGAUCCAGCAAUACCGCGUGCAGGAAGAAGGCCUUCGGGUUGUAAACUGCUUUUGUACGGAACGAAACGGUCUAGAUUAAUACUCUGGGCUAAUGACGGUACCGUAAGAAUAAGCACCGGCUAACUACGUGCCAGCAGCCGCGGUAAUACGUAGGGUGCAAGCGUUAAUCGGAAUUACUGGGCGUAAAGCGUGCGCAGGCGGUUUUGUAAGACAGGCGUGAAAUCCCCGGGCUCAACCUGGGAAUUGCGCUUGUGACUGCAAGGCUAGAGUACGGUAGAGGGGGGUAGAAUUCCGCGUGUAGCAGUGAAAUGCGUAGAUAUGCGGAGGAACACCGAUGGCGAAGGCAGCCCUCUGGACCUGUACUGACGCUCAUGCACGAAAGCGUGGGGAGCAAACAGGAUUAGAUACCCUGGUAGUCCACGCCCUAAACGAUGUCAACUGGUUGUUGGGAAUUUACUUUCUCAGUAACGAAGCUAACGCGUGAAGUUGACCGCCUGGGGAGUAC